This 472-nucleotide ribosomal RNA is filed under the name uncultured bacterium. RNAcentral's name for it is "bacterial SSU rRNA". It matches the Rfam family "Bacterial small subunit ribosomal RNA", at positions 355 to 825 of the family's 1533-position model. The record is from RNAcentral.
UGGGGAAUAUUGGACAAUGGGCGCAAGCCUGAUCCAGCGACGCCGCGUGUGUGAAGAAGGCCUGCGGGUUGUAAAGCACUUUCGAUGGGAACGAAAUGUGCCGGGUUAAUACCCCGGUAAGCUGACGUUACUCAAUGAAGAAGCACCGGCUAACUCUGUGCCAGCAGCCGCGGUAAUACAGAGGGUGCGAGCGUUAAUCGGAAUUACUGGGCGUAAAGUGCGCGUAGGCGGUUACGUAAGUUGGAUGUGAAAUCCCCGGGCUCAACCUGGGAAUUGCAUUCAAAACUGCGUGGCUAGAGUGUGGGAGAGGAAGGUAGAAUUCCAGGUGUAGCGGUGAAAUGCGUAGAUAUCUGGAGGAAUACCGAUGGCGAAGGCAAUCCCCUGGACCUGUACUGACGCUCAUGCACGAAAGCGUGGGGAGCAAACAGGGUUAGAUACCCACGUAGUCCCUGAGCGGGCUGGCAAGGCGCAU